This 337-nucleotide long non-coding RNA is filed under the name Cricetulus griseus (Chinese hamster). Its description in RNAcentral is "lncRNA (ENSCGRG00015042757.1)". The record is from RNAcentral. Lineage: Eukaryota; Metazoa; Chordata; Mammalia; Rodentia; Cricetidae.
GCAGGAAGUCACACUCUUCCUCUUCCUCCUCCUCUCUUCUCUUCUCUUCUCUGUGGAGCUGCCAUGUGAUUCCGGAAAAAGGGCGCAUUCUACCAGCAUCAUCGACAAGAGAAAAUGAAAAGCUGUGGAUUCCUUCCAGACUAAUAUGGUUUGAUCAAGCAAGACCCCCUGAAGCAGUGGCCCAACUGAUCCUACAUCCAACAGCUGAAAUGAUGCAGUCAUAAAUGACUACAGCCAGAUUUCUGUGUUUUAUCAUGAUCCUCAUGGUAUGAACAUUGCCCCCAACUGGCAGGAAGCAGUUUGGAAUGACCGACGCCCAAAUUCCCAAAUAUUGUUU